Molecule: ribosomal RNA, 807 nt
Filed under: uncultured bacterium
Lineage: Bacteria
Description: bacterial SSU rRNA
Rfam family: Bacterial small subunit ribosomal RNA
Source: RNAcentral
UUGAGCGGAGAUAUAUGGAGCUUGCUUUAUAUAACUUAGCAGCGAACGGGUGAGUAACACGUAGAUAAUCUAUCCUAUACUGGGGGAUAGCCCGAUGAAAGUUGGAUUAAUACCGCAUAUAGCUAUAUAGUUGCAUGAUUAUGUAGUGAAAGAUUUAUUGGUAUAGGAGGAGUCUGCGGCACAUUAGCUAGUAGGUGAGGUAAAGGCUUACCUAGGCGACGAUGUGUAGCCGGUCUGAGAGGAUGAACGGCCACAAUGGAACUGAGACACGGUCCAUACUCCUACGGGAGGCAGCAGUGGGGAAUAUUGCACAAUGGGGGAAACCCUGAUGCAGCAACGCCGCGUGAGUGAAGAAGGUUUUCGGAUUGUAAAGCUCUGUUAGCAGGGAAGAGGAAGGACGGUACCUGCAGAGGAAGCCACGGCUAACUACGUGCCAGCAGCCGCGGUAAUACGUAGGUGGCAAGCGUUGUUCGGAAUAACUGGGCGUAAAGGAUGCGUAGGCGGUUAAACAAGUUAUAUGUUAAAUAUAUAGGCUUAACCUGUAGAAAGCAUAUAAAACUGUUUAACUAGAGUGCAGGAGAGGUAAGUGGAAUUCCUAGUGUAGCGGUGAAAUGCGUAGAGAUUAGGAAGAACACCAGUGGCGAAGGCGACUUACUGGACUGUAACUGACGCUGAGGCAUAAGAGCAUGGGGAGCAAACAGGAUUAGAUACCCUGGUAGUCCAUGCUGUAAACGAUGGGUACUAGGUGUGGGUUGUGAAUAACAAUUCGUGCCGUCGCAAACGCAAUAAGUACCCCGCCUGAGGAGU